GGGUGAUUAGCUCAGUUGGUAGAGCAUCUCCUUUACACGGAGGGGGUCGGCGGUCAUCACCCACCA
This 66-nucleotide transfer RNA is filed under the name Enterobacter hormaechei. RNAcentral describes it as "tRNA-Val". It matches the Rfam family "tRNA". Rfam says of the family: Transfer RNA (tRNA) molecules are approximately 80 nucleotides in length. Their secondary structure includes four short double-helical elements and three loops (D, anti-codon, and T loops). The record is from RNAcentral. Lineage: Bacteria; Pseudomonadati; Pseudomonadota; Gammaproteobacteria; Enterobacterales; Enterobacteriaceae.